Molecule: ribosomal RNA, 461 nt
Filed under: uncultured bacterium
Lineage: Bacteria
Description: SSU rRNA
Rfam family: Bacterial small subunit ribosomal RNA
Source: RNAcentral
AGAAUCAACGCUGGCGGCGUGCCUAACACAUGCAAGUCGCACGAGAAAGGGUAGCAAUACCUGAGUACAGUGGCGCACGGGUGAGUAACACGUGAAUAAUCUACCUCCGAGUGGGGAAUAACUGAGAGAAAUCUUAGCUAAUACCGCAUAACACUUACGAGUCAAAGCAGCAAUGCGCUUGGAGAGGAGUUCGCGGCAGAUUAGUUAGUUGGCGGGGUAAUGGCCCACCAAGACGAUGAUCUGUAUCCGGCCUGAGAGGGCGCACGGACACACUGGGAACUGAAACACGGUCCAGACUCCUACGGGAGGCAGCAGUGGGGAAUUUUGCGCAAUGGGGGAAACCCUGACGCAGCAACGCCGCGUGGAGGAUGAAAUAUCUUGGUAUGUAAACUCCUUUCGAUGGGGAAGAUUAUGACGGUACCCAUAGAAGAAGCCCCGGCUAACUUCGUGCCAGCAGCCGC